UGGCCAAGCCGCCAUACCGUGCCUGUUGC
RNAcentral lists this non-coding RNA (29 nucleotides) under Mus musculus (house mouse). Lineage: Eukaryota; Metazoa; Chordata; Mammalia; Rodentia; Muridae. The record is from RNAcentral.